GCUCGAACUCCGACUAAUUCCGCUUUAUUUUUGAAGACUUAUAUACAACCUACCAGUAUAUGUAGAUUUGUAAUUGUACCUAGUUUUGUACAGUUGUUGCCUCGAAGAUAUUUAUCUACCAUCCAAUCUGUCGUGUAAGAAAUGAUCCGACAGUUUUAUUGACGAUUAUAAGUCAAAAUCUCCAUACCGCAAGUCAUGCACCACGGGUCACGCAACUUACUUAGAAGAGAAGAUUUUGAUGCUCCGGCUCAGAAACACGUCAGAUGGUGAGUUCCCAGAACGUGCAUGUACUUAAUUUUGUUGGCUGCAGCAACACAUUUUUGACAAGCCCCGUAUCAAAUUAUCAAUAAGUUCGUGCGGCGAGGACUAGGCCAGAUCAUCAACGCUGUGGCUUUUGCCACCACAAACUUUUCUUAAUGCAUUAUCCAUACAUUUGUACUCCUGCG
Molecule: long non-coding RNA, 446 nt
Filed under: Daucus carota (carrot)
Lineage: Eukaryota; Viridiplantae; Streptophyta; Magnoliopsida; Apiales; Apiaceae
Description: long non-coding RNA (DCAR_LNC004540)
Source: RNAcentral